Molecule: unclassified non-coding RNA, 460 nt
Filed under: Hevea brasiliensis (rubber tree)
Lineage: Eukaryota; Viridiplantae; Streptophyta; Magnoliopsida; Malpighiales; Euphorbiaceae
Source: RNAcentral
GAGAUGCCAAGCGUGAAGAAAAGGUUUCUAGCAUGAGCUUAAUUUAGUGGAUUUCAAUGGAAUCUGUCUAUUUGGACCAAUAUAGUUUGGGUUUUAGGUUUUUCUAAGUCUGAAAUGGGAAACGAUAUAUGAUCGAUAGAAGUAAUUAGGUGAUCUGGUUAGGUUAGGGAGAGCCGGUUCUGUGAAUAGAAACAAGCAUAGAUUUUGUUCUGCUUUAACUUUAAUAUUCCUCUGUAUGCAAAGAAUUUUGAUAGGGGCAAUCUAAUGAGUGUACAGGCUUCAACAUUUUUAGCCCUUACGAUCUGGGAAGUGAGAGUUGAAUGAUGAUUAAAGUUCAUCGAUAUUUCCCACUAAAUUUUGGCUCUAGUGUAACUGAUUAGUAUGAAUACUGUGAGCAUUUGGCAAUGGUUUAUUGAAAUUUCCCUUGCUUAUAUUCUACAUUUUUUCAUAUUUUAUUUUG